RNAcentral lists this ribosomal RNA (213 nucleotides) under Triticum aestivum (bread wheat). RNAcentral describes it as "partial small subunit ribosomal RNA". Lineage: Eukaryota; Viridiplantae; Streptophyta; Magnoliopsida; Poales; Poaceae. The record is from RNAcentral.
GGUGAAAAGAAGGUGAAUUGGAUUGCGUGGGACAAGAUGUGUUUGGCAAAGAGCGAGGGAGGUAUUGGUUUCAGAAAUUUUGAAGCCUUUAAUCAAGCGUUGCGAGCUAAAUAAGCAUGGUGAAUCCUUCAAGUCCCCUCUUCUUUGUGUGUACGAGUUCUCAAGGCAAGGUAUUUCAAGGAUAAUUGCAUUAUGUUUGCAACAUGGACGUGA